Molecule: ribosomal RNA, 337 nt
Filed under: Nemotelus cingulatus
Lineage: Eukaryota; Metazoa; Arthropoda; Insecta; Diptera; Stratiomyidae
Description: partial 16S ribosomal RNA
Source: RNAcentral
UCUUUUAAUUGAAGGCUUGUAUGAAUGGUUGGACGAGAUAUUAGCUGUAUCAGUUUGAUUUUUAGAAUUUUAUUUUUUAGUCAAAAAGCUAAAAUUGUAUUAAAAGACGAGAAGACCCUAUAGAUCUUAAUAGUUUAUACAUUAUAUUUAUAAAGAAUAAUGAAGAUUUAAUGUAAAUAACUAUUUUAUUGGGGUGAUAAUAAGAUUUAAUGAACUCUUAUAUAUUUUUACACGAAUUAGUGAAUAUUUGAUCCACUAUUAGUGAUUAAUAAAUUAAGUUACCUUAGGGAUAACAGCGUAAUUUUUUUAGAGAGUUCAUAUCGAUAAAAAAGAUUGC